Molecule: ribosomal RNA, 245 nt
Filed under: Toxoplasma gondii FOU
Lineage: Eukaryota; Apicomplexa; Conoidasida; Eucoccidiorida; Sarcocystidae
Description: partial 28S ribosomal RNA
Source: RNAcentral
UGGCCAUCGCAAUGCUUUGUUUUAAUUAAACAGUCGGAUUCCCCUUGUCCGCUCCAGUUCUGAGUUAGCUGUUCACCGUACACGCACAGCCCAAGACCCCGGAAAGGGAGAUGGACCUUUUCCCCAGAGCGCAAUACAGACAGUGCUCGGGUCCGCAACACGCCGCGAAGCAUGAAGCAGUCCCAAGCUCCGUCAAAUACAGGCCACUGGGGCGCAAUGUACCCAGCCCUCAGAGCCAAUCCUUU